Molecule: ribosomal RNA, 463 nt
Filed under: uncultured bacterium
Lineage: Bacteria
Description: SSU rRNA
Rfam family: Bacterial small subunit ribosomal RNA
Source: RNAcentral
AGGACUAACGCUGGCGGCGUGCCUAACACAUGCAAGUCGAACGAAGUAGCAAUACUUAGUGGCAGACGGGUGAGUAACACGUAGUCAACCUGCCCUUCAAUGGGGGAUAACUAGCCGAAAGGUUAGCUAAUACCGCAUACGAUCUCUGAGUGGCAUCACUCGGCGAUGAAAGGAGUAAUCCGUUGAAGGAGGGGACUGCGUCCCAUUAGUUAGUUGGUGGGGUAAUGGCCUACCAAGACUCCGAUGGGUAGCUGGCUUGAGAGAGCGACCAGCCACACUGGAACUGAGACACGGUCCAGACUCCUACGGGAGGCAGCAGUGAGGAAUUUUCCGCAAUGGGGGAAACCCUGACGGAGCGACGCCGCGUGUGGGAAGAAGGCCUUCGGUCGUAAACCACUGUCGAGGGGACGAUAUUGACGGUACCCCUGGAGGAAGCCCGGCGUAACUACGCGCCAGCAGCCGC